Molecule: ribosomal RNA, 274 nt
Filed under: uncultured bacterium
Lineage: Bacteria
Description: partial 16S ribosomal RNA
Rfam family: Bacterial small subunit ribosomal RNA
Source: RNAcentral
GCGCUUAACACAUGCAAGUCGCACGAGAAAGGGAGCAAUCCUAAGUAAAGUGGCGCACGGGUGAGUAACACGUGGAUCAUCUACCUUUUAGUGGGGAAUACCCCCGGGAAACUGGGGACAAUUCCGCAUAAUCUCGCGAGAGGAAAGCCGAAAGGCGCUGAAAGAGGAGUCCGCGGCUGAUUAGCUGGUUGGUGAGGUAAUGGCUCACCAAGGCAAAGAUCGGUAGCCGGCCUGAGAGGGCACACGGCCACACUGGCACUGGAACACGGGCCAG